This is a non-coding RNA of Carica papaya (papaya), 5312 nucleotides long. The record is from RefSeq and is a predicted model, not a curated record. NCBI's taxonomy places the organism in Eukaryota, Viridiplantae, Streptophyta, Magnoliopsida, Brassicales, Caricaceae.
AAAAGAAGAGUAGAAGAUCCCGAAGCAGACCGCCUCAAGAAUUUAAGCCCAACACGACGAAGACGAAUAAUAUUUUCAACUAUCACCGACAAUAUGUUCUCUCGCCGCGAGCCUGCUUAUCACGUUAUUUUCUUUAUUCGGACAAUGUUAUCGGCGUUCAUGUACCCACCGUCUCUCUCUUCUUUCUUGAUUGGAUUUGUCGUUUCAGAUAAGAUCAAGAGCGGAACCCAUUGAUGGAAAUAUAUCCGAUUCCGUUGGGUUUUGCAGGUUUUGAGGUUGAUUAAGUUGUAGCAGAGAGGACUUGAGUUUUUAUGAGGUGGUUCUUUUGACAGAAAAGGAGUUCGUGUAGAAGUUUAUAUCCAGGUCUUGAGAUGGUGUGGAGGAAUUGUUGUUUUUCAAGAAUUGGUAACGAUUCAAUUCCAAUGAGAUCCAGUGUUGUAGUGUGCGUACGGUCAUAUGGCACUGGGAAAGCUCAUAUGUGGCGUUCCAUACCUGAUUGGUUGUGUUGAAGGAAUGAGAGUGAGAUGUGUGGAGAAAUUGUGAGAUGAAAAAAAUUAUUUGUCGUUAGAAUUGACAAGAUCAAGUAUUGUAAUUUACGUGUCUGACCUUUGCCAUGGCGGGUGCGCUCCCAUGGCAGGUCAAAAAGUGCAAUAAAAUUUAUGUCUUUUUGGUUUUGGGGGGAUGAGGAGAUGGCACGGGAUAUUAAUAUAUUAUUUUGGCCCGGCUCUUCCCAUCUCCCAUUUGUCUGCCUGUGUAUUAUUAUUAUUUUUUUUAAUUUUUAUAUUUAUUUUCUGACAACUAGUGUAAAUUAUAUACUGACGUAAAUUAUAUGAUUUAUGAUUCUAACUUUUACCACGGCGGGUGCCCUGCUAUAAUAGGUCAAAAAAUGCAAUAAAAUUCACCCUAUUUUUAGUUUUGAAGGGAUUGGGAGAUGCGACGGGAUAUUGACAUACAAUUUCGGCUCGAGUCUCCCUAUCUCCCAUUUGUCUACAUGCAUACUUUUUUAUUUUUCCUAACUCUUAUAUUUAUUUUCGGACCAAUUGUAUAAAUUAUAUAUUUAGAUAAAUUAUGUAAUUUAUGUGUCUGACCUUUACUAUGACGGGUGCGCUAGCAUGGCAAGUCAGCCAUACAAAUGCAAUAAAAUUAAAAUUUUGUUUUGUUUUGAGGGGAUGGGGAGAUGACAAGGGAUAUUAGUACAUAUUUUUUUGCUCGGCUUUCCCUAUCACCAAAUUUUGUGUAUGUAUACUUCUAUCUAUUUUCUAACUCUUAUAGUUUAUUUUUGACUAAUUGUGUAAAUUAUGUGUUUAUAUAAAUUAUAUAAUUUAAGUUUUUGACAUUUGCCAUGGCGGAUGCGCUCGCAUGGCAAGUCAAAAAGUGCAAUAAAAUUCAUAUUUUUUUUUUCUGGGUUUGAGGGGAUUGGUAGAUGGUAUGAGAUAUUAAUAUAUUAUUUUGGCUUGGCUCUCCUAUCUCCUAUUUGUCUACCUGUGUAUUUUUUUCUCUUUCUUAUUUUUUAUAUUUAUUUUCUAACCAAUAGUAUAAAUUAUGUACUUAUGUAAAUUAUAUAAUUUACAUGUUUGACCUCUUCUAUGGUAAGUGCGAUUGCAUGGCAGGUCAAAAAGCAUAAUAAAACUCACGUUUUUCUUUUGGUUUUGCUGGGAUUGCUAGACGGGACAGGAUAUUAAUAUAUAAAUUGGCUUGGCACGGGAUAUUAAAAUAUUAUUUUGGCCUCAUAUUACAUCAGAAGGCCUGCAAAGGUGAUAUUAUAACAUUCCGAGCUCCUUUAUGGCUUCUUGAUGUGGUUUGAGUUUUUCUAAUCUGCCAAGAGUUAUGAUAAUAAAUUCUAUUAUGAGACUCCACUAAUAAAGUAAGGAGUAGCUCUUUUGGGUUCUGAUCUUGCUUGGUUUUUUUUUUUUGUGUCAUGAGUGUCAGCUAACUCAAGGAGAUGCUCGUUUGGGGAAAUAUAAUAUGAUCGGUUGCCUGAGUGGAAAAAGUUUCAAGAAAAAAUUUGAUUUGAUCGUAAGUUAUGGGUUUCCGGAGAAAUUAAAGUGUGAUUAUGUUUAGAGGGUUAGCUUCUUCUUAUGACCUCCAAGGAGAAGUUGAAGACAGAAAUCCAAUUCUUCUUGAACAUAAUUGGGUUUAAGAAGGAAAUUUUAGCUGAGAACCUGUCUGCUUGACGUACAGUUUUGAAGAUAGAAUCUUUCCUUGUUACAGGGUUUUGCAGGUUUUGAGGUUGAGAAGUUGUAGCAGAGAGGACUUGAAUUUUUAUGAGGUGGUGCUUUUGGCAGAAAAGGAGUUCAUGUAGAAGUUUAUAUCGAGGUCUUGAGAUAGUGUGGAGGAAUUGUUGGUAUGCUACAAAUCUCAUCUUUUGGAUUUAUCUUCUUCUUCUGCUUCUGAGAAGGAAGGCUCCUUACUGACCCUGUUCUCUAUGCUAUUGCUCCUAACUGACCUUAUUCUCUAUGCUCUUCAACUCUAAGAUGCAUUCUUAAUCUGCUGUAGUGCCAUUGUUGGACAUAAAUUUAAAAUUGAAUGGUUAGGAUCGAUUUUAAUGUUUGUUGCUUUUGUGCUUUGUUAAUACUGGUGAUUAAGCCGGUAUGUAUAUUUAUUUGCAUCAAUCCUAUAGGUAUUUUUUUGGUUUUUCCUGGAACUUUUUUUCUUCGGUUGAACAUGAAAUUUGAAGGAAAUAUGAGAAAUGUGUGAGAGGCAGGGAGGCAUCUAUUGCCCAGUUUUCUUUUGCUGUUCAUAUUUGAUUUUUUUUUUUUUUUCCUUUUUGGUAGUUUUCUUUUAAAAUUUCACCGUUCUUCAUGUAAUUGUUACUCACAAUCGGUUGGUGAUGCAAUAAGGGAAUUUUGCUGGUUGCUGUGUGACUUUAGUAUACGUGCAUACUUAUUCUUGAAGAAUCUAUGAAUAUUUGUGGUAAAUGAAUACGUAAUUUGAACAGUCCAUCAAAGUGCAUGUUGGUAUGCCUUGACCACUUUUUGUUUGCAUUGGAUGUUAUUACAUGAGUUCUUUUCUUGGUUUUCAUUGAUCACCUACAUUAUCCAGUGUGUUUGCAUGCUCCAUUGACUCUAUCUAAUAGGAUGUAGGAAACUCAAAAGUGUGUGAGUUGAUUUGCAUGUAUUCUGUGUUACUGGAAAAUCUGCCUGUGCAAAGGCUAAUAUGCCUUUAGGCCUUUUGGUUGCUAGUUGAUUAUGUUCUGGACUGUUAGAAUGCAUGCUUAAUAGCUCACUUUUUGUUCCUAGGAAAGCAAGAGCAUGCAAAAAAAGCCAGGCGAAAGACUGUUUAAUGAUCCUUAAUUUGCUGGAAGAUUUGUUUUCUAAAAAGAACCUCUUUCUUGGUUGUUGAUCUGUUCUAACAAUUUCUUCUCAUUUGUCUGUUUGGUGGAUAUUAAAUGGCAUUUUGCAGCUCCUGCUACCUCAACCGUUAUAUGGUUUGUUUAACUUUUUGCAAUGUGUUGUUCCGAUUUUUUUCUUUCUUUUUCAAAUUUAUCAUUAUUUUGCUUUGUAUUGUAUCGUUGAGAUAGAAUUGUUCAUUGAAUCCUUAUGUGUCUAUCUCCUUUUUUCUCUUUCUCAUUCUCUUUUCAUCUUUGAUGUCAUCGACUUGGAAUUUCUCCAAAUCUCAAGAAUAGUAUCUGAUUUGGUUCUUUCAUAUGUUGUUAUCACUCAUCUCUCUCUCCUUCCUGCAUUGGCUAUUUCAUUUUGAUUCCUUUCCUACUUUUUUUGUAUUGAGACUAUAGGUGUUGGAUCUUGAAUUUUUUUUUUUUUUUCAAAUUUAUCAUCCUUUGUCAUAACGUUUAUCUCCCUUUUUAUCUCUCUCUUUUCCUAUUGGAUGUCAUCAACUUCGAGUUGCUCCACAUCUCAAGAACAGUCUCUGAUUCGGAUAUAUAACAUGUUGUUAACACUUCUUGUUUUGUCCUUCCUUCGUUGACUGUUUCGUUAUGAUUUCUCUCAUAUCUUUUCUUGGUCAAGACCGUAGGUACAUGGACCAUGAAUCUUUAUUUUUUUUCCCCAUAUUUAUCAAUAUUUUGUUUUGUUUUUGUAUUAUUGAGAUGGAAUUGUUUGUUGAAUUCUAAUACAUCUACCUCCAAAAAUUUUCUCAAGUAGGCUUUAUUUCCUGUUUUGGCUGUUUUGUUUUGAUUCGUUUCAUAUUUCACUUGAUCAAGUAUGCAGGUUUUUUUUCUUUUCAUAUAUUCUUGGCUUUUUUUUUGAAAUAAUUUUCAUAUAUUUCAUAUAUUCUUUUCUCUUUGAAGGUAAAACAUCAAAUAAGCAUUCUAUCAAAAUUCAAGAUUAAGACCUUAAAUUUCUAGAGCUAAGCUAGAGGAGAAAUUCUUAUAAGUGAACUAAUAGCCUCUUUCUCUUUCUUUUCUGUGUUUGCUGUUAUCAAAUUUUUAUACCAUAUUCCUUGCUUGUACGAAAAAUUAAGGUUUCUCUUCCUUUGUGAGAGUAGCCAAAAAAGAGAGGGUGGAGAGAGGAAUCGCUCAACGAGAGAGAAGAGGAGUUGUCGCACGGGGGAAGCCAAGAGGAAGAAAGAAGGAGAGGAAAGGAAGACGGAGGUUGGAGAAGGAGAAGGAGAAGGAGAAGAGGAAGGGAAAAAAAAGUGGCCGAGCAGGAAAGGAAAGGGGGAGCUGAGAACGGCCGUUGGAAAAGGGAAGAGAGAGGCGGAGGUGGGAGAGUGGUGGAAGCCAAGCCGAAAAGAAGAAAAAGGAAGAGAAUCGGGCUGAGAUGUCGUGUGAUGGCGAACACCGAGGCAAGCGAGUUUGUAAGUUUAAAAAUCAUCAUCCGAAUCUCAAGCAAGCUAGGAAGCCACAAGGUGGUCGAGAGGCGACCAUUAGGAGCCAAACCGAGGUCGAAUUGCCCCACGCCAGAAAAGUAAAGCCUUUUCAUUUUUUUGGUGGUUAUUGAGCGAUGGUGGAGCGGGACUGGUGUCGGGCUAGCUGUGCGAGCUCGGUUGGGUCAUCCACCUACACAGGAACCGAGGAGCUUUCCUCGAGAGUGGGGAAAUCGGCCCUCCAAUGGAAGCCGAGGGGCCUUCUUCGGGAAUGGAGACCAAAUUCACUCUUUUGGGAUUUCGAUUCACCGUUCGAAAAGCUCAAAAGCUUUCAUCGAGUACGAAAAUUCAAUCCGACAAAUGGAAAGCCGGUAGGUCUUUCCUGGAUACGAAUUCUGAUGUUUUCGGGAUUUUUCAUCGGGUUGUCAUUGAAAAUUGUAAAUUCGAUUAAAUUAGUUUUGUUUAGUAUUUAAAAUUAUAUUAAUUAAUUCAUGUCGUAUGCGUACAAAAAAUUAGAACGUUCAAACGGAUUCAGGAAUACCGUUGCA